GUGAGUGUAGCUCAGUUGGUUAGAGCACCAGGUUGUGGUCCUGGGAGUCGGGGGUUCGAAUCCCCUCACUCACC
RNAcentral lists this transfer RNA (74 nucleotides) under Phycisphaerae bacterium. RNAcentral describes it as "tRNA-His". It matches the Rfam family "tRNA". Rfam says of the family: Transfer RNA (tRNA) molecules are approximately 80 nucleotides in length. Their secondary structure includes four short double-helical elements and three loops (D, anti-codon, and T loops). Lineage: Bacteria; Pseudomonadati; Planctomycetota; Phycisphaerae. The record is from RNAcentral.